AUUGAACGCUGGCGGCAGGCCUUACACAUGCAAGUCGAACGGAGCGGCGAACGGGUGAGUAAUGCCUAGGAAUCUGCCUGGUAGUGGGGGAUAACGACCGGAAACGGGCGCUAAUACCGCAUACUAUCAGAGCAGCCUAGGUCGGAUUAGCUAGUUGGUGGGGUAACGGCCUACCAAGGCGACGAUCCGUAACUGGUCUGAGAGGAUGAUCAGUCACACUGGAACUGAGACACGGUCCAGACGCCUACGGGAGGCAGCAGUGGGGAAUAUUGGACAAUGGGCGAAAGCCUGAUCCAGCCAUGCCGCGUGUGGGAAGAAGGUCUUCGGAUUGUAAAGCACUUUAGGUUGGGAGGCGUUACCAACAGAAUAAGCACCGGCUAACUACGUGCCAGCAGCCGCGGUAAUAC
Molecule: ribosomal RNA, 407 nt
Filed under: uncultured bacterium
Lineage: Bacteria
Description: partial 16S ribosomal RNA
Rfam family: Bacterial small subunit ribosomal RNA
Source: RNAcentral